Molecule: ribosomal RNA, 559 nt
Filed under: Selenomonas sp. oral taxon H64
Lineage: Bacteria; Bacillati; Bacillota; Negativicutes; Selenomonadales; Selenomonadaceae
Description: bacterial SSU rRNA
Rfam family: Bacterial small subunit ribosomal RNA
Source: RNAcentral
GACGAACGCUGGCGGCGUGCUUAACACAUGCAAGUCGAACGAAAUUAAAAAAUUAUCAUUGAGCUCUCCGAUGAGAUGGGAGCCAAGCGUCGUGACCGCGGAGCGGGCACCACGCGUUCAACAAGUGCAACACCAAGUCGAAGGGUUGAAUGGUAAUUUUUUAAUUUAGUGGCAAACGGGUGAGUAACACGUAGACAACCUGCCGACAGGAUGGGGACAACAUUCCGAAAGGAAUGCUAAUACCGAAUGAAGUCAGAGAAGGGCAUCCUUUUCUGAUGAAAGAUGGCCUCUUUUUAUGCUAUCACCUGUUGAUGGGUCUGCGUCUGAUUAGCUAGUUGGUGAGGUAACGGCUCACCAAGGCGACGAUCAGUAGCCGGUCUGAGAGGAUGAACGGCCACAUUGGGACUGAGACACGGCCCAGACUCCUACGGGAGGCAGCAGUGGGGAAUCUUCCGCAAUGGGCGCAAGCCUGACGGAGCAACGCCGCGUGAGUGAAGAAGGUCUUCGGAUCGUAAAGCUCUGUUGACGGGGACGGACGUGCGGAGUGCGAAUAGCGCUU